Molecule: long non-coding RNA, 418 nt
Organism: Gopherus evgoodei (Goodes thornscrub tortoise)
Lineage: Eukaryota; Metazoa; Chordata; Testudines; Testudinidae
Exons: 2
Source: RefSeq, a predicted model, not a curated record
GUAUCUAAAGUUAAACAUAUAUAUUAUAUAAUUUAAUAGAUCAAUACCUAGUUUAAAUUUCUAAGUUCACUUUUAUGACUAUAUUCUCUUUGUUUAUAUUGCUCAAAUUCUAAGGAGAGCAGAAGAAAUAUAUCUAGGAACAUACACCAACUCUGUUAAUCAGCAAGCCAAGGAAGUGAUAUGAGUAUGUGGAGAGAAACCUUUACAAAAAUGACCAGAUCAACUACCUAGGCGUGAACUGUUUUGGAAGAACUUCAUUUGUGCAAUGUGUUUAACCAGGAAGCAACUAAUCUUACUUUCCAUUUGGGAACCCCUGUUGUUAAUGCUGCAUCAUAAAGUAUUUACCCAAUGGAUAUGAGCACAUAUUUUGCCAAUUCUGGCUGGUUAUGUUGUGAUGAAUAAAUGCUCUGUACUUCAA